This 468-nucleotide ribosomal RNA is filed under the name uncultured bacterium. RNAcentral describes it as "partial 16S ribosomal RNA". It matches the Rfam family "Bacterial small subunit ribosomal RNA", at positions 28 to 507 of the family's 1533-position model. The record is from RNAcentral.
GACGAACGCUGGCGGCGUGCUUAACACAUGCAAGUCGAACGGAAAGGCCCUGCUUUUGUGGGGUGCUCGAGUGGCGAACGGGUGAGUAACACGUGAGUAACCUGCCCUUGACUUUGGGAUAACUUCAGGAAACUGGGGCUAAUACCGGAUAGGAGCUCCUGCUGCAUGGUGGGGGUUGGAAAGUUUCGGCGGUUGGGGAUGGACUCGCGGCUUAUCAGCUUGUUGGUGGGGUAGUGGCUUACCAAGGCUUUGACGGGUAGCCGGCCUGAGAGGGUGACCGGCCACAUUGGGCCUAAGAUACGGCCCAGACUCCUACGGGAGGCAGCAGUGGGGAAUAUUGCACAAUGGGCGGAAGCCUGAUGCAGCAACGCCGCGUGCGGGAUGACGGCCUUCGGGUUGUAAACCGCUUUCGCCUGUGACGAAGCGUGAGUGACGGUAAUGGGUAAAGAAGCACCGGCUAACUACGUG